UGUUGAAACACCUGUUCCCGUACGAUCACCGAAGUUAAGCAGCGUCGAGCCUAGUCAGUACCUAGAGGGGUGACUGUUUUUGGAAUACCAGGUGCUGUAAG
Non-coding RNA from Acanthosepion pharaonis, 101 nucleotides. The record is from the annotation of a GenBank genome assembly. Lineage: Eukaryota; Metazoa; Mollusca; Cephalopoda; Sepiida; Sepiidae.